This 16-nucleotide transfer RNA is filed under the name Schistochilopsis incisa. RNAcentral describes it as "partial tRNA-Phe". Lineage: Eukaryota; Viridiplantae; Streptophyta; Jungermanniopsida; Jungermanniales; Scapaniaceae. The record is from RNAcentral. RNAcentral also lists the same sequence under 3 other names.
UGCCGGGAUAGCUCAG